AAGAUGCAUUAUCAUGGCUGUAAACACAGGUUCUGCACGUGUCUAAGUUCAGCCCCAAACCCACAUGAAGAACUUAUUUCCAGACAGCUCCUACUCUUAUGGUGGCUCCAGACCCUGCCCCAUGCAGAAGGCACUUCUCAAGUUCCAGGACCAGGGCUUCAGCCACAGCACUCGCAAAACCCCACAGAUACAGUGCCAAUGACAGAAAUUAAGAUUAACUGGGGGCGACACAGAUUUCUGUGAAUGCCAGUGCUGUCAGAUGCUUCCUGAUAGUACUUUCUAGAGUAAAAGAACUUCGGGAAAAGUAAAAGCAGCAAAUGGUAACACCCUCAUGGAGAUCUCAGGGCUGCAGAACAAGCACUUUGAGUGCUGAAGACUUCUCCCAUCUCCACGUCCCUAACUGUCCCCAUGCAGAUUCCAGGAUCCACACAUCAGAGGCAUCUGCCACUGAGCUGGGUGUGAAAUCUGAAGACCAGGGUGUAGAGGCAAGCACUGAAGGCCCAUGAUCAGCCGUGGGAGCCACGGGAAUCAAUUGCUUCCAGUACGACUGGAUGCAUCGGAAAGAGCCUGGGGCAAGGCUGGAGGCCACAAGAGGAGCUGCCAGGCCACAUAAGCAGGGAACAAAGCCGAUGAUCACACGCCCAUCAGUGAGCCAACUUGGUGAAGGGAAAUGCCCAAGUUCUCAGCACCUGCAGAGCCUAAGACAUAACAAGCAGCAUGCCCUGACGCUCACCAAGGCCAGGUGCUGUGGUGAGUGCUCUACCUGUUUCUGUACAGAAGAGAAAUCAGAAUGCCAGAGACAUGAAGAAACUUCUCCAGGGUCAUGUAAUCACCAAAUAAUGUCUGCUUCGACCAUCUCUGCAUUUUGUGCUACACCAAGAUUUAAGCAGCUGUUCAAAGGAACUGUAGAACAGAUGUCACAGAUGUAACUAUUCUUGAAAGGAAGUCAGAUUUCAUAGAUGGAAAGACUGCCCUUUUCCAUUUGCCUCCUCCAGACCCAUAACUUUGGAUAGGGGGGUUUUAUUGUCCGUGAGGCUUAUGCAUAUGUCAGAAGAAUGUCCAAGCAGAGGAAUCUAAGUGGCAGACCCCCCAGGAUAGGAAAGAAGAAGGACGCUCGUGCUGACACUUCCAGAACACUCUUCACGUUUUGUGACAUAUGUGCUUGUCGAGUGAUCUUAAGACAGCUGGAUGUCCGAACCAUGCAGUAAUAGCAGAGAACCUGCGGAAGGAGAAGCUUCCCAGGACGUUCUGAGGGCUUAUGCCGGGUGCAGGCUUUCCUUCCCGCAACAUCCCUGAGUCCAGAGAAGAAAUAAUCCCCUGCCCUGUGGGCCAAGCACUUACAGCAACAGCACUUUGAGUUUGCUGUGCUUAGAUUCACUUGUGGAACUUGUUAAAAAUAUAAAAUUCCAGACCCCACCUCC
This is a long non-coding RNA of Homo sapiens (human), 1421 nucleotides long. RefSeq annotates it as long independently transcribed non-coding RNA 2914. The record is from RefSeq and is marked validated. Lineage: Eukaryota; Metazoa; Chordata; Mammalia; Primates; Hominidae. The transcript is spliced from 5 exons.